CGCCUUGCCAGCCCGCUCAGAAACUUAAAGGAAUUGACGGGGGCCCGCACAAGCGGUGGAGUAUGUGGUUUAAUUCGAUGCAACGCGAAGAACCUUACCUGGUCUUGACAUCCCGGAGACCCUUAGGAAACUAGGGGGUGCUUCCAUCUGGAAGAAUCUGGAGACAGGUGCUGCAUGGCUGUCGUCAGCUCGUGUCGUGAGAUGUUGGGUUAAGUCCCGCAACGAGCGCAACCCUUGCCUUUAGUUGCCAGCAGUUCGGCUGGGCACUCUAAAGGGACUGCCGGUGUUAAACCGGAGGAAGGUGGGGAUGACGUCAAGUCCUCAUGGCCUUUAUGACCAGGGCUACACACGUACUACAAUGGCCGAUACAAAGGGCAGCGACACUGCGAGGUGAAGCCAAUCCCGUAAAAUCGGUCUCAGUCCGGAUUGGAGUCUGCAACUCGACUCCAUGAAGUUGGAAUCGUUAGUAAUCGUGGAUCAGCAUGCCACGGUGAAUACGUUCCCGGGCCUU
This 511-nucleotide ribosomal RNA is filed under the name uncultured Desulfobulbus sp. Its description in RNAcentral is "bacterial SSU rRNA". It matches the Rfam family "Bacterial small subunit ribosomal RNA", at positions 903 to 1382 of the family's 1533-position model. Lineage: Bacteria; Pseudomonadati; Thermodesulfobacteriota; Desulfobulbia; Desulfobulbales; Desulfobulbaceae. The record is from RNAcentral.